UACGUAGGGGGCAAGCGUUGUCCGGAGUUACUGGGCGUAAAGCGCACGCAGGCGGUCUCUUAAGUUUGGAGUGACAGUUGGUGGCUUAACUGCCAAAGUGCUUCGAAAACUGAGAGACUUGAGGGCUUCAGAGGGACACGGAAUUCCGGGUGGAGUGGUGAAAUGCGUAGAGAUCCGGAGGAACACCAAAGGCGAAGGCAGUGUCCUGGGGAGUACCUGACGCCCAGGUGCGAAAGCCAGGGGAGCGAACGGG
This 253-nucleotide ribosomal RNA is filed under the name uncultured bacterium. RNAcentral's name for it is "partial 16S ribosomal RNA". It matches the Rfam family "Bacterial small subunit ribosomal RNA", at positions 524 to 776 of the family's 1533-position model. The record is from RNAcentral.